Molecule: RNA transcript, 1963 nt
Organism: Lagopus leucura (white-tailed ptarmigan)
Lineage: Eukaryota; Metazoa; Chordata; Aves; Galliformes; Phasianidae
Gene name: deoxycytidine kinase 2
Exons: 5
Source: RefSeq, a predicted model, not a curated record
UGCCAAGAUGCGAUGGCAGGGCCGUGCACACGCAGCUCUGCAUGCCCAGCACUGCACAAACGCAGCCUGCGGUCUCAAGAAAGCUCACAGCUGCCACUAUCCUAUCCGCCACAACAGCCCAGUUCACACACUCUGCAUUUUACGAAUCUUUUGCAGCAGCCGGAAAGUCUACACUUGUCAGGCUGCUGGAGAAACACAGCGAUGAGUGGGAGGUGAUCCCCGAGCCCAUCGCCAAGUGGUGCAACAUCCAGACCAGCGAGGAUGAGUGCGAGGAACUUUCAACUUCUCAGAAAAGUGGAGGAAACCUACUUCAAAUGCUGUACGAUAAACCUACAAGAUGGGCUUAUACUUUUCAGACUUAUGCCUGCUUGAGCCGAGUAAGGGCACAACUGAAACCCAUUUCAGCCAAGCUGCAUGAAGCAGAACAUCCAGUGCAAUUUUUUGAGAGAUCUGUGUACAGUGACAGGUAUGUGUUUGCUUCUAACCUGUUUGAAUCUGGAAACAUCAAUGAAACAGAGUGGGCUAUCUAUCAGGACUGGCACACAUGGCUUUUAAAUCAGUUUCAAUCUGAAAUAGAACUGGAUGGGAUGAUCUACCUAAGGACCACACCUCAGAAAUGCAUGGAAAGGCUACAGAAGAGGGGAAGAAAAGAGGAGGAAGGAAUUGACCUCGAGUACUUGGAAAACCUCCACUAUAAACAUGAGACGUGGCUGUAUGAAAGAAGUAUGAGGUAGGAGCCUGUUUCCCCUGGACCACUACUGUGGGCAAAAUUGCUUAAAUAACCUGUUGCCAUGAGGAACCAGACAACUACCAGCUAAUUCUCAUUUCAACUUAUAAGCAAGUUUUUACUAUCAAUCAGAAAGUAGAAAAAAGCCUGAGAUCCAUCUCUAGUUUCACUCGGGCAUGGUUGGAAUGACUUAAGCAUUAGCUUCAACUGAAAAGCUAUUCUAGUUGUGAUUUUUCUCCAGCAAUUCCUUAAGCUUAGAACUGGAAGUACAUAGAAAUAGGGCGGUUGAAAUUGGACUCAGUGGCUAAUUCCUUACUAAGCAACUUCCAAUGUAAGCGAAGGUAAAGUCCUGAUUACCUUUAAACUUGGGUGACUGUGUCUCAGCAAGGUUUAAAUACUAACCCUAGCUUCAAAACAAGCAAUUAUCAGAAAGGCUUCUGGCAGUCCCUUGUAUGAAGGAAACAUGCCAGUGACUAAGCUAUCUCUGCACGUCUUUUUUCCCCCCCCAGACUCUUACUGAGUCAUACUUAUCAGCUUUCCCCACAUAGGAAUUAGCUGGACAUAAAUGCUAACUUCAGGUUUUCCCUAUAAGAACCUGAAGUAGUGUACUGAAUGCAAAACAAGAGGUUAAACAUUUAUUACUGACUGCAGCAGUAAUAAAUGACAUCAGCAUAUUAAGUCCAUUGCAACAACAGGAGGAAAAAAAAAAAAAUCAUAGAAGAGUUCAGGAUAUUCCUGGUAGGCAAGCGUGACUUUUCAGCUGAAAUAAACAAAACUACUUCCAGAUGGUGUACUAACAGAUGCAAAACAAUUCCAAGAAAAGUACGUUAAGCUGAACAGGCACAUCUGCUUUUACUAAGUCUAGAAUUCAUGUAGGAUGACCCAAGAGUUCAGGAGACAAGAAUGUAUUGCAGUGUUGUGGAAUUAUAACAUUUACAUUGUGUACUCAUUCCAAACCCAUGAGCAAACAUUUCCUGUAUUUUUAAUACAAGUUAGAAUGCUGUUCAGCCCCCUUUAAACACAGGUCUUAGAACCUGUUAGAGGUCAUUCCCAAAAGGAAGCUUUAAAACUUCAUCUUGGUAAAUGGAUUAGCAGCUAACUACAAAGGUGGUGGGGGCCACACAGGGCAAGAGGUACUUCAGAGGAAAACAUUCACUCCCUCUUAUAAAAAUUGGAUUCCUGAUAGUUGGCUCCACAGCAAAAAGAAUGAGAGUUGAUUUUGAGAACCUUAAGGAG